AGUGAACGCUGGCGGUAGGCCUAACACAUGCAAGUCGAACGGCAGCACAGUAAGAGCCUGCUCUUACGGGUGGCGAGUGGCGGACGGGUGAGGAAUACAUCGGAAUCUACUUUUUCGUGGGGGAUAACGUAGGGAAACUUACGCUAAUACCGCAUACGACCUACGGGUGAAAGCAGGGGAUCUUCGGACCUUGCGCGAUUGAAUGAGCCGAUGUCGGAUUAGCUAGUUGGCGGGGUAAAGGCCCACCAAGGCGACGAUCCGUAGCUGGUCUGAGAGGAUGAUCAGCCACACUGGAACUGAGACACGGUCCAGACUCCUACGGGAGGCAGCAGUGGGGAAUAUGGGACAAUGGGCGCAAGCCUGAUCCAGCCAUACCGCGUGGGUGAAGAAGGCCUUCGGGUUGUAAAGCCCUUUUGUUGGGAAGGAAAAGCAGCAGGUUAAUACCCCGCUGUUCUGACGGUACCCAAAGAAUAAGCACCGGCUAACUUCGUG
RNAcentral lists this ribosomal RNA (492 nucleotides) under uncultured bacterium. RNAcentral describes it as "partial 16S ribosomal RNA". It matches the Rfam family "Bacterial small subunit ribosomal RNA", at positions 29 to 507 of the family's 1533-position model. The record is from RNAcentral.